This 529-nucleotide ribosomal RNA is filed under the name Yamadazyma diddensiae. RNAcentral's name for it is "eukaryotic LSU rRNA". It matches the Rfam family "Eukaryotic large subunit ribosomal RNA", at positions 62 to 648 of the family's 3401-position model. The record is from RNAcentral. Lineage: Eukaryota; Fungi; Ascomycota; Pichiomycetes; Serinales; Debaryomycetaceae.
AAACCAACGGGAUUGCCUUAGUAGCGGCGAGUGAAGCGGCAAUAGCUCAAAUUUGAAAUCUGGCGUCUUCGGCGUCCGAGUUGUAAUUUGAAGAAGCUAUCUUUGAGGCUGGCUCUUGUCUAUGUUCCUUGGAACAGGACGUCACAGAGGGUGAGAAUCCCGUGCGAUGAGAUGCCCAGUUUCGUGUAAAGUUCCUUCGACGAGUCGAGUUGUUUGGGAAUGCAGCUCUAAGUGGGUGGUAAAUUCCAUCUAAAGCUAAAUAUUGGCGAUAGACCGAUAGCGAACAAGUACUGUGAAGGAAAGAUGAAAAGAACUUUGAAAAGAGAGUGAAAAAGUACGUGAAAUUGUUGAAAGGGAAGGGCUUGAGGUCAGACUUGGUUUACCAGGCCAGCAUCAGUUUGGGUGGCAGGAUAAUAGCUAAGGAAAGUGGCACGAUUUCGGUUGUGUGUUAUAGCCUUGGUUGAUACUGCCUGCCUAGACUGAGGACUGCGUCUUUGACUAGGCUGCUGGCAUAAUGACCUUAAGCCGC